GGAUUGUGGCUCAGGGGUAGAGCGCUCGCCUAGCACAUGGAGAGCCCUGGGUUUGAUCCUCAGCACCA
This 68-nucleotide transfer RNA is filed under the name Marmota monax (woodchuck). Its description in RNAcentral is "tRNA.Ala". The record is from RNAcentral. Lineage: Eukaryota; Metazoa; Chordata; Mammalia; Rodentia; Sciuridae.